UACGUAGGGGGCAAGCGUUGUCCGGAAUUAUUGGGCGUAAAGCGCGCGCAGGCGGUCUUUUAAGUCUGGUGUUUAAACCCAGGGCUCAACCUUGGGUCGCACUGGAAACUGGGAGACUGGAGUGUAGGAGAGGAAAGUGGAAUUCCAGCGUGGUAGCGGUGAAAUGCGUAGAGAUGUGGAAGAACACCAGUGGCGAAGGCGGCCCGCUGGGCAGUGGCUGACGCUGAAGCGCGACAGCGUGGGGAGCAAACAGG
Molecule: ribosomal RNA, 254 nt
Filed under: uncultured bacterium
Lineage: Bacteria
Description: partial 16S ribosomal RNA
Rfam family: Bacterial small subunit ribosomal RNA
Source: RNAcentral